RNA transcript from Anguilla rostrata (American eel), 3363 nucleotides. It is a transcript of the gene named hemicentin-1-like, with no coding region annotated. The record is from RefSeq and is a predicted model, not a curated record. The transcript has 12 exons. NCBI's taxonomy places the organism in Eukaryota, Metazoa, Chordata, Actinopteri, Anguilliformes, Anguillidae.
GGUGUAAAGACUAGAGCUGGCCGCAGCGAUUAAUUCAUUGCUAUCUGAGGUCACGGUUUUGUGUCGUAGUAGUCAUGCCCUGCAGAAGAUAAUCUUCAGCUCUGCAUCAGUCCUGACGUUCUGAAAGAGGAACGCAGCACUGUGCGUGACCCGUGCAAACCACACGCACUUCUCAAAAGCAAGACGACAACUUCAAGAUCCUGCAGAUACAGAGCUCAUGGGUUCCUUCAGGAGAUCAUCUGUUCUUUGCAGUGUCAUUCAAGGUCUGGCGGUUUGGAGUGUGGCUGCGGCUGGACAGCCGUGGUCAGUGACGAUUCCUAACCAGAUGUCCGCUCCGGUCGGGUCUUGCAUCGUCGUUCCUUGCUCCUUCACUCCCCCGAUCGCUAACGAGGCCGUUGAAGUCACUUGGUACCAGUACGUCAGUCGUGGAUACCCGCUGGUAUACAGCGAAUCCAAACCGGGGAACGUCAUAGAUAAGUUUCGUGACAGCACGGAGUUAAUUGGCAGAGCGAGAAAGGGGAACUGCAGUCUCAAAAUCAACCCGACACGAGAAACACAUAACGCUGAGAAGAUCUAUGUGUGGAUUACGCCAAAUCAGUUGGACGGCUACUUCUAUGAUCAGACGGUGACAUUAAAGGUUACAGAGAACGCGCCUCAGCCGGAGAUAAGGGUGCUGCGCAGUGACCUAACAGAGGGGGAUGUGGUGAGACUGUCCUGUGAUGUCAUCCACACCUGCCCCCCUUCCCCCCCUUCCGUCUCCUUCCGCAACCACAGGGGGGCGCUCAGUUGGAGCCACAAUAAGGAAGAGGCGGGGCGUUGGCGCAUCUCCGUGGAGACGUCCUGGAAAGUGAACUCGGUGGACCAUGGGAGGGGCGUGGUGUGUGAUGUCACACAUCCUGGGGGCCGGACAGCCAGCAGAGAGAUUGUGCUCCAUGUUACCUAUCCCCCGAAAUCUGUGAGUGUCCAUGGACCCCCAAACGCACUUCCACCUGGUGGAAGCGUGUCCCUGUCCUGCAGCAGUCAGGCCAACCCCCCUGCGACCUCCUUCCAGUGGUACUUUGUGGAUCAAGGCCAGCCCAAGCUAUUGGAGGCCACCUCUAAGGACAUGACAGCAACAAAUCUGCGCCGCGACCAGAACCUGUUCCGCUGCAAAGCCAGCAACAGCGCGGGGAGUGGCAGCUCGCCUGACUUUGAAGUCAUCCAAGAGUACCAGCCCAACAUAUCCGAGGCCUCGGGGUGCUCCUUCUAUGCUGGGGCUGUGAGCUGCUGGUGCGAGGCUACGGCCAGGCCCUCGGCCUCCCUGCAGUGGAGGGUGGACGGGGUGACCCAGGAGGCCAGCCCCGCCCAGCCCAGCACCACCAGCGUGCACACGGUGAGGGGAGAGUGGGCCGGCAAAGCCGCCACCGAGCAGGUGAGCGUCACCUGCGUCUCCAGCAACCAGCACGGCCAGAAGGAGCGCCUCCUCAGGGUGUAUGUGAAAGCGCCUCUCUCUAAUGUGAUGGUGACCCAGCACCCGUCCCGCCCCCGUGAGGGAGAGGGGGUGACCCUGUCCUGCACUGGACAGGGCUACCCACCGGCGUCGGGAUACCGCUGGUACCUGGGGCGGGACGGGCAGGAGAUCGGGCUGGCGGAGGAGUCCAGCGAGCUGUCGGUCCGUCCCGUGGCCAGAGACUCCGGACCCUAUCGAUGCACCGCCCGGAACCAGAUGGGCGAGUCCAGCUCCCCCGUCACGUCGGUCAACGUGGAGUAUGCCCCUCUUAUUCUCUGGAACUCCAGUUGCACCCUGGGUAACGGGCAGUGGAGGUGUGAGUGCAUUGUGGACUCCAGCCCCCCAGCGAAGGUCACCUGGUCCUCUGUGGGCUCCUCCACUAAUGAGAGCGGCAACACGUCGUCCACGCUCAGUGGGCGGGUCCUAAGGUCUGUCCUCACUGGACCAAUGGGAGACGGGGGCCACCGUUUCUACUGCAAUGCCACCAAUGAGCACGGAGACGACUUCUACCUGCUACCUAUCACAGUGGAGCACUUUGGAAAGUGGGGAAUUGUCCUUGGAGCAAUCGGUGGAGCUGUGCUCAUAUGUCUUCUAUUGGGAGCAUUUUUAUAUUGUAAACGCACUAAAAGGCGCCCCAAACACGCAGACCUUUCCCUAAAAGAAGUGAAAUGUGCUGGAGAGGAGGAAGUGAAGAUUGACAGUUUGUACUCAAAUAUAACAGCAUGCCCUCCUGCCCAUGCACUGCCAGAGAGCAUCUACGAGGUGGAAGACGCACCCAGGUAUCAGGAAAUGAAGAGACAACCUUCAUAUGAUGACGAUGUGUACCAAAAUGACUGAGAUCUGCAGGACAAUCACAGCUGUCGGUCAUCUGCUUCCAGAUCAAAAGCGCUUCAGUGUACUCAUAUUUUAUGCAUUCAUAUUUUACGGCCCCAUCAGAGCGGUCCUCCACACUCCCCUAUGAGGUGUCUCCCCCAGCUGUACGAAUGGCCACCACCGUCUAAGUGCAGCACUCUUAUGUACAGACCCCUCACCUGUCCAGUACUGUGUAUAUGUUACAUUGUGUUGUCUUUUAUAUUAUUUUUGAACUUCAUUUUCCUCUUUUUUUUUCAAAAUUUUCUGUAAUGUUUUUUUUUCUUUCUUUCUGAUAUGCAGUAUUUUAAUUUUUUUUUUUUGCAGUACCGUCAUUUUAUAUAUGUAAAAUUGAUUCCAAAGGGCUUGAUACAUUUAAUAUCUGUAAUGUCAAGAUAAAUAAAUAUUCAGUACUGGUUGAAGCCCAUAACUACUGGAUGCAACUCUGUUAUAAAAGGACAAGACCUGUGAUGUGUCUGUUUAUAAAAUGGCUCCCACUGAAUUCAGGUAAUUUAUUUAUAAAUUUAAUUGCAAUAAAUUUACUCACAAUGCUAUUGUGAACAACUUAAGAGAUGUAAUUCUUUUGUAGAUAUUGUAUGUUAAUUUAAAUGAAUGUCCAAGAAUAAAAUCAUGUAUGUAUUGGAUAUAGUCAUUUGAGAACUUUUGGAUGAUUAGUCACUCGAUCAACUGAGAUUCAAGAAGCAAUGGUUCCCCUUUCCGUGUUGAACUUUUUUAGGAGUGCUCGUUUUCUCUAUUGGGGUAAUCAGAGAAUCAGAAGUACAAACUUUCACUCUAAUAUGUUUGUAGAAAAGUGCAUUGCCUGAUUGCCUGUUCUCAGGUGUGUGUGUGUGUGUGUGUCUGUGUGUCUGCGUGCGUGUGUGUGUGCGUGUGUGUGUGUGUGAGUGUGUGUGUCCACAAUGUUAAAAUCAUACCCUAGAGCGUGGAGUGCAGUGGUGGUAGCUACUGUAGGUUCACUGAGCGUCCAGGUUUUAGCUGUAAUAAAGCACUUUGAUUAGCUAAAACCA